Molecule: ribosomal RNA, 492 nt
Filed under: uncultured bacterium
Lineage: Bacteria
Description: partial 16S ribosomal RNA
Rfam family: Bacterial small subunit ribosomal RNA
Source: RNAcentral
AGUGAACGCUGGCGGUAGGCCUAACACAUGCAAGUCGAACGGCAGCACAGUAAGAGCUUGCUCUUACGGGUGGCGAGUGGCGGACGGGUGAGGAAUACAUCGGAAUCUACUUUUUCGUGGGGGAUAACGUAGGGAAACUUACUCUAAUACCGCAUACGACCUACGGGUGAAAGCAGGGGAUCUUCGGACCUUGCGCGAUUGAAUGAGCCGAUGUCGGAUUAGCUAGUUGGCGGGGUAAAGGCCAACCAAGGGGCCGAUUCGUAGCUGGUCUGAGUGGAUGAUCGGCCACAUGAGAGCUGAGCCGCGGACAAGGCGACUACGGGAGGGAGCAGAGGGGAAUAUUGGACAACAGGCGGAAACAUUAUCCAGCCAGACCGCGUGUGUUGAAAAGACCUUCGGGUUGUAAAGCCCUUUUGUUGGGAAAAAAAAGCAGCAGGUUAAUACCCCGCUGUACUGACGGUACCCAAAGAAUAAGCACCGGCUAACUUCGUG